AGCCAAGGGAUCUGCCAGUGCCAUGAGACCGGGAACCCUGUGUCCUCGGGACAGUUGUCUCUUUCUCCAGGCCACUGCUGGCGGAGAAAAAGAAAAGCUCUUACAGCCUUUUGAUUGAAUGGACUGCCGUAGCCGAAACUCGCCCUCUGAACUUUCUCCAACAGUACGUGUUUCUGGCUGAAAUAAAGCUUUACAGGCGGCAGAGAACUUGCAAUGAGGAAUCUGGUGCUUUUCCACCCUUGUGUACGUGGUGAGUUGCUCUGGGGAAGUCAGACUGGGAUCCAAAGCACCUGCAGAAAAGCACAGCCAUCUUCUGGGACCAAGACUGCCCCUCUACACUUUGCCCCUCAAAAUGCCAUGUCGCUGUUGUCCCCUUCCUCCGUUUUGUAUCAGGUCCCUUUGCUGCUGCUGAGCUCUCUGUUACAGAGUCUGUUCACCAGUAACAUCCUUUUUGUCAGAUCAGUUCCAGCUUGCUGCAUUUUUUUUGCCUUUAAUCCAACCCUUCUGGAAAGAGCUAAAGCCUAUAUAUAGCCUUUAAAAUGCUUGUGUGAGGCAGAUGGAAAUUCAGGUCUUUUCCCUCUCAGCCACUAAAUUACUGAAUCAUUCUCUUGUGUCUUUCUCAGAGACAACAGUGAAUUAAAUACAGUUGAUGAAAAUACUACACGUUAAGUUAAUUAGGAGUUAAACUAGCACCUGACAUGGGAAAAUGUGUUUAGAUUUCCCUUAAACAGAGAGUUAAGGUCUGCCUGUACAGUGGGAGUCUCCUGGCCAGUGAGUUACUGGCUAUGAGGUUUCAAAAUGAGAAUCUGGUAUAAAUACAUAAUUCGAUAGAUGGUUUAGCAUCCUACUCGGAGCAGGCAUUAAACGUUUAAAUCAGAAAUGUAGAAUGGCACAGCAGAGUGGCUUACAGUGCCAAAAUACAAAGACUAGCUACAGCAGAAGGUAUGUAACACAAAUGAUACUCUAUCCUGAUAUUUGCCAUCAGCCCUUGCCUAGAGACUUGGUUAUUGAAGCACAUUAAACAUGACAUUAAGCAGGACUGACUUCUUCUAGCUGAAUACUUUAUCUGCAAGCAUAUAACUGUUUUCUAGCCCAAAUUGGGCUACUUACUCCAUUUUUUUACUGCUUUUUUUUUUUUUUUUAAGAGAAAACCAGCUUCAUCUAGAAAGGAAGCUUCUGCUCCUUGCUGUUAUUCCAGGAUUCUGAGAAACAGGAUUCUUGUAUGCUUGUUAAAAUGGCAAGAGCCAUGGGUAGAGAGAGUAAGGGAAAUGAACUUGCUUCUCAUGUGCUAGAUAAGCAGCAGCAUUGCCAUUUUAGAAGAAAAUAGUAGUUGCUUUUCUAUGUGACAGACUUGACUUGUAGGCUACACGUAGUCUGAAACUCUCUGCCAUAUUGCCAGAAGGUAUCAAAUAGCUUUAAGCAAUUGGUUUAAUGUGCAUCAGUUUCUCUGAUUCUAAAACAAAUACAGUGAUGCUUCCAAUGUAAAGUGGCUAUUGAUCCAGUUCCUGUGCUUGAAAAAACCUACACAACUGGACAGACUGUCUUGUUCAGUAUAUGCUUUUGCCCUUAGUGCUUAAAACUAAAUGCUAUGUCUUGAUUGAUGCGGGAUGUCAUCUCCUAGCUGUUGAGUAUGAUGAUGUGCUUCUUGUGUUCAGCACUGAAAAGUAUCCUUCCAAGUACUUCUGCUUCUGUAAUGUAGUAGAAAUAUGAAAUCACCUAUUUCACCAUGAGGUGAAAUGAUAUAUUAAUAUUUUAAUAGAUAGUGCUUUGAAAACAGCAUGCUGUAAAUACAUCAUUAGGUGUUUCCCUCAGAGCACAAAUGAAUUGAAGGAGGACAAAAAUGUAUCCCUUCUGUGCCUUUGCUGCUUUUUCUAGAUCUUAAACAGCAGCAGAAUGUUGUAGAUGUGAAGUUAUUGCCAAAAGCAUUUUUCAGAGGGGGAAAAAAGGAAGAAAAUAUGUUUUUUGGGAUACAGUAUGACUUAUAGAAGGAGUUCAGGUCUGCCCACACUAUGCCAUAACUUGUAGUGCAGAGAGGCCAGAGAUGUUGCUCCUUCAAAAGAAGAUACACAGUUGUCCUGCUGAGCCUGUCAGCUCGGUGCCCUUUGCUUCACCUUUCAUUAAGCCCUGUAGCGCACAGCCCAUGCAAUCCAGUUCUGGAAUUGUUUACAGUACAUGCCUCGUGUUUCAAGACCUUUAUCUUCAGAAUUGAGUGAGUUUCAUGAGGUGAACUGAAUUUUCCACAAAGUAACUUGAACAUUGAAAUUCUGGAAUUUUCAAUACUAGAGAUUGUGUUGCGUUUAGUAAAAGUAAAUUUACCCAGCAUGAGAAAAAUCUCUCCCUAAUUGUCACUUCUUGUCAUCCUGCAGGCUAUUCCACUUUUUUGCAGAGAUACCUAUAGAUAGUUUGUGAACUUCAUAAGCUAGUAGCUGAAAUUCACUGAAUCUAGACACCUACCUUUUUCAGAAUUCAUCCCAUAAACCAGCUUUAAAUAGUAUUUGCUAAUCAGGACAGUAUUUGCAUAAAUUUGACUUAAUGGGGAUGUAUCAGGUACAAAGUUAUUAACUGGAUCGAAAGCAGGUGUUAAAAUAGCUGUGUUUCCCUAAUGCCUCAUUUUCAAAUAUCAAAGUCCAGAAAUAAAUGGGGUUCCAGUUAGAGUUGUUGAGUUGAGAAUUUCUGAUUCAUAAAAAGGCUUGGUGCUUCAGAUGUUUUCAAGCUCUUAAGAAAAAGUUAAAUAUACAUAUAUAUACAUAUACAUACAUACACACACACACAUGUAUAUAUAUGUAUAUAACUUCCUGGGAAAUGGACAUUUCAGUAAUGUUUCUGAAACGUGGCUCUUCCAAGUUGGCUGCCCAUGGUGCAGUGUCUGGGCAGCCCACAGGAUCAGAUAAUGUGGUACCUGUGAUCCUUGGCUGGCAGAGAAUGGCAGAACCUGAAAAGCUGACCAUAAUCACUGUGUUUCAGCAAAUGCUUCAGAUGCAAUUUCUAUGACAAACUUAAGAAACCUUGAGGUAUGAGCCUGUCACCCUGUCUACCCUUGACAGGGUGGAGAGAAACAGACAUUUGUGAAAGUGGCUUGCCGUGUUCUCAGACAGGUGCCUGACUGGGGUGAGCUGAAUUACUGUCUGGAAGGGCCUGCCUUAGAAGGAGGGGAAUGACUUCCUUGAUAGUUUGUGUCUCCUAAUUGAGAAUAAAGUGUAGAGAGGGUGCCUGUCUUCUACCCAAAUGUUAAAAGACAUUUAAGAAAAGAAUUCUCAGUGUUGUUUUGAUUAAUGAGAUUUUUUUCAGCAAUUUUACUUUGUGUAGGAUAAUUCCUGCCCAGCUUUAGUGCUGGUAUUUUCAAUCAGAAAAAAAAA
This is a long non-coding RNA of Taeniopygia guttata (zebra finch), 3356 nucleotides long. The record is from Ensembl. Lineage: Eukaryota; Metazoa; Chordata; Aves; Passeriformes; Estrildidae.